RNAcentral lists this ribosomal RNA (465 nucleotides) under Vreelandella stevensii. Its description in RNAcentral is "partial 16S ribosomal RNA". It matches the Rfam family "Bacterial small subunit ribosomal RNA", at positions 338 to 795 of the family's 1533-position model. Lineage: Bacteria; Pseudomonadati; Pseudomonadota; Gammaproteobacteria; Oceanospirillales; Halomonadaceae. The record is from RNAcentral.
CCUACGGGUGGCAGCAGUGGGGAAUAUUGGACAAUGGGGGCAACCCUGAUCCAGCCAUGCCGCGUGUGUGAAGAAGGCCCUCGGGUUGUAAAGCACUUUCAGUGAGGAAGAACGCCUGGUGGUUAAUACCCAUCAGGAAAGACAUCACUCACAGAAGAAGCACCGGCUAACUCCGUGCCAGCAGCCGCGGUAAUACGGAGGGUGCGAGCGUUAAUCGGAAUUACUGGGCGUAAAGCGCGCGUAGGUGGCUUGAUAAGCCGGUUGUGAAAGCCCCGGGCUCAACCUGGGAACGGCAUCCGGAACUGUCAAGCUAGAGUGCAGGAGAGGAGAGUGGAAUUCCCGGUGUAGCGGUGAAAUGCGUAGAGAUCGGGAGGAAUACCAGUGGCGAAGGCGGCCAUCUGGACUGACACUGACACUGAGGUGCGAAAGCGUGGGUAGCAAACAGGAUUAGAUACCCCUGUAGUC